RNA transcript from Myotis daubentonii (Daubenton's bat), 7334 nucleotides. It is a transcript of the gene named myoneurin, with no coding region annotated. NCBI's taxonomy places the organism in Eukaryota, Metazoa, Chordata, Mammalia, Chiroptera, Vespertilionidae. The record is from RefSeq and is a predicted model, not a curated record.
GUCGUGGAAAGUGGGCUACAGUUGGCUGAUGCAAACAAAACCCAGGAGGUCCCAAGAGCUUUCGGGUAUGUACACGGCAAAGGGGUCAUCGGUCUCAGCUCAAAAAAUACUCCCCACGGCCGAGAGCCCAGUACACAAAGCAGUUUUUCCCGAGGAAGGAAAGGAUGAUGGGAGAAGACAAGCAACUACAAGCCCCAGCAUGCAAUGCGCACUCUGGCUGCAGGAAAGCGGCCUGCGGAGCGGCUCUGCCCGGCCGCGGCCCGAAUGCGGCCCGAGCGCGAGACCCGGACUGUUGGCCGACCAGGCUCUGAGAAUGAGGACGCAGGCGGGGCGCUCCGAGCGACCCCUGGGGUCUCCUGUCUUUGAUGCUCGCUAUUUUGGGGAGGGGGCCCCUGGCAUGUAAGGUGUCGGUGUGAAGCGGGAGGUGGACCGCCCAGUUCAGCCCCGGCUGGUGUGGGACCUCCACGGUCCUAAAGCCUCCGGGGUUGCCAAGGGGCUCCCGGACCCGGAUGUGACGUCGUCGUGGAGGAAGAAGGGAAAGGCGGAGCUGGCGCGGUGACGUCCUCCCAAGAUGGCGGGGAGAGAGUGAAGAAACAGUGUCCCCGGCUGGGUGGCUCUAGAACAAGGGUAAAUAAAGUUCCACUCCGGUCUCAAAAUGCAGUAUUCGCACCACUGUGAGCACCUUUUGGAGAGGCUGAACAAACAGCGGGAGGCAGGUUUCCUCUGCGACUGCACCGUCGUGAUUGGGGAAUUCCAGUUUAAAGCUCACAGGAAUGUGCUGGCCUCGUUCAGUGAGUAUUUCGGUGCCAUCUACAGAAGCACUUCCGAGAACAAUGUCUUUCUUGAUCAGAGUCAGGUGAAGGCAGAUGGAUUUAAGAAACUGUUGGAGUUUAUAUACACAGGAACUUUAAACCUUGACAGUUGGAAUGUUAAAGAAAUUCAUCAGGCUGCUGACUAUCUCAAAGUGGAAGAGGUGGUCACUAAAUGUAAAAUAAAGAUGGAAGAUUUUGCUUUUAUUGCUAAUCCCUCUUCUACAGAGAUAUCUAGUAUUACUGGAAACAUUGAAUUGAAUCAACAGACUUGUCUUCUUACUCUACGAGAUUAUAACAGUCGGGAGAAAUCGGAAGUGUCUACAGAUUUAGUUCAGGCAAAUCCUAAACAAGGGGCUUUAGCAAAGAAGUCAUCUCAAACUAAAAAGAAGAAGAAGGCCUUCAACUCCCAGAAAACAGGGCAGAGUAAAACAGUGCAAUAUCCCAGCAGCAUUUUAGAGAAUACAUCUGUUGAAUUAUUCCUAGAUGCAAAUAAACUGUCCACACCUGUAAUUGAACAGGUUGCACAGAGAAAUGAUAAUUCAGAACUUGAGUUGACAUCAGUUGUGGAAAAUACUUUUCCAGCCCAAGAUAUUGUGCAAACUGUUACAGUGAAACGGAAACGUGGAAAAUCACAGCCAAACUGUGCUCUGAAAGAACACUCUAUGUCCAAUAUAGCCAGUGUCAAGAACUCUUAUGAGCUGGAGAGCUCUGGGGAAGAGCUGGAUCAGAGGUAUUCCAAGGCCAAGCCAAUGUGUAACACAUGUGGGAAAGUGUUUUCAGAAGCCAGCAGCUUGAGAAGGCACAUGAGAAUACAUAAAGGAGUCAAACCUUAUGUUUGCCACUUGUGUGGAAAGGCAUUUACCCAGUGUAACCAGCUGAAAACACAUGUAAGAACUCAUACAGGUGAGAAGCCAUACAAAUGUGAAUUGUGUGAUAAAGGAUUUGCUCAGAAAUGCCAGCUAGUCUUCCAUAGUCGCAUGCAUCAUGGUGAGGAAAAACCCUAUAAAUGUGAUGUAUGCAAUUUACAAUUUGCAACUUCUAGCAAUCUCAAGAUUCAUGCAAGGAAGCAUAGUGGAGAGAAGCCAUAUGUCUGUGAUAGGUGUGGACAGAGAUUUGCCCAAGCGAGCACAUUGACCUAUCAUGUUCGUAGGCAUACUGGAGAAAAGCCUUAUGUGUGUGAUACUUGUGGGAAGGCAUUUGCUGUCUCUAGUUCUCUUAUCACUCAUUCUCGAAAACAUACAGGUGAAAAACCAUACAUAUGUGGUAUUUGUGGGAAAAGUUUUAUUUCCUCAGGAGAGCUCAACAAACACUUUCGAUCCCAUACAGGAGAAAGACCAUUUAUCUGCGAAUUAUGUGGAAAUUCUUACACGGAUAUUAAAAAUUUAAAGAAGCACAAAACAAAAGUUCAUUCUGGGGCAGAUAAAAUUCUAGAUACUACUAUAGAGGAUCAUCCCUUAAGUGAACAAGAUUCCAUACAAAAAAGCCCUUUAUCAGAAACUUUGGAUGUGAAACCUUCUGAUAUGACUUUGCCACUAGCCCUUCCACUUGGGACUGAGGACCACCACAUGCUUCUGCCUGUCACAGAUAAUCAGUCUCUGACAUCAGACACAUUGUUGAGGUCAACUGUGAAUGGGUAUUCAGAACCACAAUUGAUUUUUUUACAACAGUUAUACUGACUUUGUGAGGAUUAUGGAAUUGCUAAAACAUCUCUGGUAGUAAACAUAAACAUCUCUGGUAAGAGAGGAAGGAAGAGGGAGAGAGAGAAACAUCAGUGAUGAGAAUCAUCGAUUAAUUGCCCCCUGCACACUCCCCCCAUCCCCCAACCGGGGAUUGAACCCAAAGCCCGGGCAUGUGCCCCGAGUGGGAAUCAAACUGUGACCUGGUUCAUAGGUUGAUGCUCAACCAUUGAGCCACACUGACCGGGUGGAGCAUUAAUUUCUUGAGACAAUAAUAUGGUUUACUCUUCUGUCUGUCUCCGCAGUCCCUCCCCCCUUUCAUUCAAGAGAGAUUUGGUAUAUUUGUUUAAGGAAUUAAAUAAUUAUCAUAUAAAUUAUCAUACAGAAAUGGGAUAUUCAAUUUCAAGAAGAAUGGACUAAAACACCAUGGUUGUGAACAGAUAUUUGGAUUAAAAUAUUUGGCUAGUAUUUCAAAUGCUGGAAAAUGAAUGAAAUUGUUACCAGUGGGGAGAGUUCCUCAUCCCCAUCUGUUGCUCAUGGGAAUGGAAUUCUUGUGAUAUCCUGAGACUUACAUGGGAGGAUGAAAUAUUGUAGAAAGCUGUAUUUCUGUGGAAUUACACCCCUGAGUUUCUAAGAUCCCAUUUCCCUAUGUCCCUUCAAGGAAGAAGUACAGCUGUGGCUUCAGUAUGGCUAACAUAAAAAUCAGUAUCCAGAGUCUCUGUUCCGUAUUAGGGCAUCGUCCAAUCUUGCAUCAGGCUAGUUUAGUUUGUAUUCCCAGGUGCAGUCUAUCAGUCUAUUUUAUGUGGGGUCAGCAUGGCCGUGGGCCAUGUGUCUAUGGAGGGAAUACAGGCAGGUGCAAAACCAAAGGAACCAGAUAGCCAAGAGCUUGAAACUGUAGUUUCAAGAAAUUGUAGUUUCCUGGUGAAGCUACCCAGGUGACAUGCCUAUAAUAUCUGGCCUCCCUUUUGUUCUUUUUCUACUAAUAACUAGCUAAUUACAAUGAUAUCAAAAUCAUAAAGCUACAAAGAUAAAUAAGAUAAAUUCCACCUUUAAGUUUUCAGUCAAAUGGGAAAGACAAGCCUGAAUGUAACUAGCAAUAAAAUAAGUUAGAAUGUCGGGUAUUGCAGGGGAGGAAGGCAAGAAAGGAAAUGUUGAGCAGUCAGAGGGAGUUGAAUGGACAAAGAAAGGGCUGUUGCCCCCCUAGUUCUGAAAACAAGAGAUGGCUGAUGGGAGCCCUUUGCACACAGCUGACUGAGAUAGGCAGAAUGGAGAGAAAGUGGGAAAUGGGAAUGAGAAGUUCCACAUGUCCAGCUCUGUACCUAUACCAUCUUUUCUGGUUAUACCAUCUUUUUUGUUAUUAAUCCUCAUCCUAGGAUAUUUUUUCCAUUGAUAUUUAGAGACAAUGGAAGGGGGUUGGGGGGGGGGGAGAGACAGAGAGAGAAACAUUGAUUGGUUGCCUCCCGCAUGCACCCCAACCGAGGCCCGGGAUCCAGCCUGCAACCAAAGUCCAUGUGCUUAACUAGAAUCAAACCCAAGACCCUUCAGUCUGCGGACCAGUCCUCUGACCACUGAGCGAAACUGGGUAGGCGUAGCUGCACCUAUACCAUUUUACUUGCAGUAGUCCCCUACCCUUAGCCUAUGCAGAAGGAAUGGGAUUGGGUAGCCUGGUUCAUAACCCACCUUCUCACGAAAACCGCAGUUGACUGCUGAAGCCACAUUUGUAACACAUGAUUCCAUACCAAGACCACAGCUGCCUGAAUACCUUACCAGUGAGAAACAAUUCUUAGGCCAGACUGAGCUAGUGAGGUUCUUUUAAAAAAUAUGUGUCUUUAUUUAUUUUAGAGGGAGAAGGGAGAGGAAUAGACAAAUAUUGAUGAGAAAGACAUCGGUUGGCUGCCUCCUGUGUGUUCUUCCGCCCCCUCCCCACACACAGCGAGGAUCAAGCCCACAACCCAGGCAUGUUCCCUGACUGGGAAUCAAACUGGAGGACCUCUUAGUUCAUGGGUCAGUGCUCAACCACUGAGUCACACCAGCCGGGCUACUUAGGUUCAAUAUAUUUUUAUUGAUUUCAGACAGGAAGGGCAAGGGAGAGAGAGGUAGAAAUGUCAAUAAUGAGACAGUAUCAUUGAUUGGCUGCCUGCUGCACGUCCCCUACUGGGGAUUAAGCCCUAAACCCAAGCAUAAUGUGCUGACCGGCAAUUGAACUGUGGCCUCCUGGUUCAUAGGCCAAUGCUCAACCAUUGGCUGGGCAGGCUAGUUAGGUUCUUUCUCAUAAAUUUGAACUAUGAAAUUCUGAGACCAUUACGUAUACAUGUAAAUAAAAUAUCAUUUAUAACUGGCCCAUGGUGAAGCAAGCCAAAAGAAACUGAAGAAGCAGAAAAAGCUGAUUUGUAGAGCAAAAGCAAGGGGAUGAAAUAGGUUUGCAGAACCAACUGAGGAGUUGCCCGGGUUUCUAACUUUUCAGGUCCAUUCCUGGGAUACAACCAUGCUUCAUUUCCUUGUCUUUGGAUUCCAGUGAGUUUUGCCUGAUACAUACUUAUAGUAAGUAAAUCCCCUUGUUCUUUUAUUUGAAAGUUUUAAGUACAUUUUUUAUUGAUUUCAGAGAGAGGGAAAGAGAGAGAGAAACAUCAAUGAUAGAGAAGCAUUGAUUGGCUGCCUCCUGCAUACUUCCUUCUGGGGAUCGAGCUUACAGCCUGGGCAUGUGCCGUGAUAGGGAAUGGAACCGUGUGACCUCAUGGUUCAUAGGUUGAUGUGGAACCAGUGAGCUGCCCCAGUCGGGCAUAAUUCCGCUUUUUCUUAAACAGGCUUGAGUCAGUUUCUGUUCCUUGCAGAUAGACAGCUUAAGACACCUAAGUUUUGAUCCUUAGUGACUGGGGUGGUGAUGCCAAGAACAUACAUGAAAGAAAAAACUCUUAUUGUGGAUUUACUGAAUAUGACUGGAGGUGAGAUAUCCAUGGGAAACCAGCAGUAGUUGGAAAUGGGGCCUGAAACCCAGUAGAGAUGAAACUAGAGAGACAGAUCUUGCAGCAUACGACUAAUUAUUGUGAUAGAAGUGAUUAAGGCAGCCCUGGGAGUUGGUACAGAAGAACAAAAGAUGAGGACAAAAUAUUGGGAAAAUGCAUUUCAAGAAUUUGCCAAAGACAAAAGGAGAUGGAAAGUAGUAACAAGAAAAAAGUGAUGGUUCAAGCUGGUCACAUGGUAAAGAGAAAUUAAAUAGGAUGCCAGUCAAAAACAACAUUGGGUUGGGUAAUUGGAGUAGAAACCAGGUGGAUGUAGUUUGAGUAGUAGAUAAGACAUAAUGAAUACUAUUUAGUUUGAAAAGCAGAGUGUGUGGCACAAACAAGAUAAUUAUUUUACCAAAUAUCUAAAAAAGUAUAAAUCACUUUGUUCAUUUUUCCCCCCCAAAUUUUAAACAUUGUAAAAUGAGCAUAAUAUAAUUCACAGCACUGUAAUACAAGGCUGUUUCUGAGCUGGAUCUUCAAAGAUUGCUAGGAGGAAAAUGGAAGGAAACUUCAGACACAUAUAUGGUUGCAGAUUUACUCAUGACAGUUCACAUGUGCAGAGGAAGUGGAGUUUUCCUAUAGAACUCUCAUAUCCUUCCUCUUGAGCUCCCACCAGUGGGAAGUCUAGAAAAAAAAUAAUUUUUAGUCCUAACCACUUUAAAAUCUAGCCUUAUAUAAAGGGGCUAUAUAGUUUAUAAUAUCUUGAGUUAAUGCUUAAACUCUUGGAAUAUUGCGGUCUUAUUUCUGCUCUUUCUCUUAAAUGGGAUCCACAUAUAUGGAGGAGGGAGCUUUAUAUGAGUGGCAUCAAGGAAGUCAGUGUCUUCAGCUCUUCCAUUCUCUGGGCAUCUUGCUGGCCUCUGGUGCCCUGAGCAACAGCUGGUAAAUUGUGUGAUCAGGUUUUUCCGACGAGCCUGGUCAGAGCCCUCAGUAGUUCUUGGCUGCACUGACCUCACCUAGGUUUUCUUAGGUAUGGAGAACUCUGAGACUUCUGCAACUCUCAACCAGUCCGGUUGCAGGUUACCUCACUGCGGGCUCCAGGUAAACGUACUUGCUUCCCCAUCAGCUACCUUCUGAGUCUCCUCUUGGGAGAAUUUAGGAACUUAGUGGGACAUCUCGAUAGCACACAAGAACAGAAAGAGGCCUGGAAAAGCAUUAUUGCUAAGGGUUACUUGACUGUGUCCUAGCCUUAGAGGCUGUCUUUCCAGAAUGCUGUAGACUCGUCUACUGCCCAGCAUAUUCUAGAAUAUUUCAAUGCAAUAAAAGAUGGGCUAAUGCUACAUUAAAGAACAUAAAUGAAUCACACUAAUAGAAUGUUGAGCAAAAGAAGUCAGAUACAAAACGUAUACACUGUUUGAUGCCAUUUAUUUAAAAUUAUUAAGCAGGCAAAAUUACUCUGGUGUUAGAAGUCAGCAUAGUGGUUGUCUAUUGGAAGAGGUUUGGAGGCACUUGGGGGAAGCUUGUGAUUUACUGUCUUUAUCUGUGUCAUAGUUAACAUAGGUGGGUAACUUUGUGAUCAUCUAGCUAUUCACUCAAGAUUUUUGUACUUUUCUGUAUGAUGGCUAUACGUCCAUUUAAAAGAAAUAUAUAAUUUUUUAUUUUAAGUUGAAGAAUAAUGUUAAAUAUUUAUUUAGAGUACAGCUGUGAUUUGAGGAAUUCACAAUACUUUAAGGGAACGUCAAUACUUGGGCCAACUGUAAAGUUGACCACUACCUUUUAUUCUAACCCAUUCUCAACAUUUAGAGAUAGACUGACUUUCUUUUAGACUGCAGAACGUCAGCUUAAUUUAAAGUACCUUUUAAAAUCUGUUCACAUACUUUUUUCUCACUUUGCCUGGCUUGAGCAGU